AGUUUGAUCCUGGCUCAGGAUGAACGCUAGCUACAGGCUUAACACAUGCAAGUCGAGGGGCAGCAUUGGAGUAGCAAUACUUCAGGUGGCGACCGGCGCACGGGUGAGUAACACGUAUCCAACCUGCCGCUUACUCGGGGAUAGCCUUUCGAAAGAAAGAUUAAUACCCGAUGGUAUAAAGAGUUCGCAUGUUCUCUUUAUUAAAGAAUUUCGGUAAGCGAUGGGGAUGCGUUCCAUUAGAUUGUUGGCGGGGUAACGGCCCACCAAGUCUACGAUGGAUAGGGGUUCUGAGAGGAAGGUCCCCCACAUUGGAACUGAGACACGGUCCAAACUCCUACGGGAGGCAGCAGUGAGGAAUAUUGGUCAAUGGACGAGAGUCUGAACCAGCCAAGUAGCGUGAAGGAUGACUGCCCUAUGGGUUGUAAACUUCUUUUAUAAGGGAAUAAAGUGAGGGACGUGUCCCUUUUUGUAUGUACCUUAUGAAUAAGGAUCGGCUAACUCCGUGCCAGCAGCCGCGGUAAUACGGAGGAUCCAAGCGUUAUCCGGAUUUAUUGGGUUUAAAGGGAGCGUAGGUUGACAUAUAAGUCAGCUGUGAAAGUUUACGGCUCAACCGUGAAAUUGCAGUUGAUACUGUAUGUCUUGAGUGUACAAGAGGUGGGCGGAAUUCGUGGUGUAGCGGUGAAAUGCUUAGAUAUCACGAAGAACUCCAAUUGCGAAGGCAGCUCACUGGGGUACAACUGACACUGAGGCUCGAAAGUGUGGGUAUCAAACAGGAUUAGAUACCCUGGUAGUCCACACAGUAAACGAUGAAUACUCGCUGUUUGCGAUAUACAGUAAGCGGCCAAGCGAAAGCAUUAAGUAUUCCACCUGGGGAGUACGCCGGCAACGGUGAAACUCAAAGGAAUUGACGGGGGCCCGCACAAGCGGAGGAACAUGUGGUUUAAUUCGAUGAUACGCGAGGAACCUUACCCGGGCUUGAAUUGCAGAGGAACAUAGUUGAAAGAUUAUGGCCGCAAGGUCUCUGUGAAGGUGCUGCAUGGUUGUCGUCAGCUCGUGCCGUGAGGUGUCGGCUUAAGUGCCAUAACGAGCGCAACCCUUAUCAUUAGUUACUAACAGGUCAUGCUGAGGACUCUAGUGAGACUGCCGUCGUAAGAUGUGAGGAAGGUGG
Molecule: ribosomal RNA, 1168 nt
Filed under: uncultured Bacteroides sp.
Lineage: Bacteria; Pseudomonadati; Bacteroidota; Bacteroidia; Bacteroidales; Bacteroidaceae
Description: bacterial SSU rRNA
Rfam family: Bacterial small subunit ribosomal RNA
Source: RNAcentral